GCCGGGGUCGCCUAGCCUGGUGGGGCGCGCGCUUGGAAAGCGCGUAUUCGCAAGAGUACGGGAGUUCGAAUCUCCCCCCCGGCGCCA
RNAcentral lists this transfer RNA (87 nucleotides) under Nitrososphaerota archaeon. RNAcentral describes it as "Thaumarchaeota archaeon tRNA-Ser". It matches the Rfam family "tRNA". From Rfam's summary of the family: Transfer RNA (tRNA) molecules are approximately 80 nucleotides in length. Lineage: Archaea; Thermoproteati; Nitrososphaerota. RNAcentral also lists the same sequence under 1 other name. The record is from RNAcentral.